This 453-nucleotide ribosomal RNA is filed under the name uncultured organism. RNAcentral describes it as "partial 16S ribosomal RNA". It matches the Rfam family "Bacterial small subunit ribosomal RNA", at positions 330 to 799 of the family's 1533-position model. The record is from RNAcentral.
CGUACACUCCUGCGGGAGGCAGCAGUGGGGAAUAUUGGACAAUGGGCGCAAGCCUGAUCCAGCCAUGCCGCGUGAGUGAUGAAGGCCCUAGGGUUGUAAAGCUCUUUCACCGGUGAAGAUAAUGACGGUAACCGGAGAAGAAGCCCCGGCUAACUUCGUGCCAGCAGCCGCGGUAAUACGAAGGGGGCUAGCGUUGUUCGGAUUUACUGGGCGUAAAGCGCACGUAGGCGGACUAUUAAGUCAGGGGUGAAAUCCCGGGGCUCAACCCCGGAACUGCCUUUGAUACUGGUAGUCUUGAGUUCGAGAGAGGUGAGUGGAAUUCCGAGUGCAGAGGUGAAAUUCGUAGAUAUUCGGAGGAACACCAGUGGCGAAGGCGGCUCACUGGCUCGAUACUGACGCUGAGGUGCGAAAGCGUGGGGAGCAAACAGGAUUAGAAACCCCGGUAGUCCCAUG